GAUGAACGCUGGCGGCGUGCCUAAUACAUGCAAGUCGAGCGAACGGACGAGAAGCUUGCUUCUCUGACGUUAGCGGCGGACGGGUGAGUAACACGUGGAUAACCUACCUAUAAGACUGGGAUAACUUCGGGAAACCGGAGCUAAUACCGGAUGAUAUUUUGAACCGCAUGGUUCAAAAGUGAAAGACGGUUUUGCUGUCACUUAUAGAUGGAUCCGCGCUGCAUUAGCUAGUUGGUAAGGUAACGGCUUACCAAGGCAACGAUGCAUAGCCGACCUGAGAGGGUGAUCGGCCACACUGGAACUGAGACACGGUCCAGACUCCUACGGGAGGCAGCAGUAGGGAAUCUUCCGCAAUGGGCGAAAGCCUGACGGAGCAACGCCGCGUGAGUGAUGAAGGUCUUCGGAUCGUAAAACUCUGUUAUUAGGGAAGAACAAAUGUGUAAGUAACUAUGCACGUCUUGACGGUACCUAAUCAGAAAGCCACGGCUAACUGCGUG
This 497-nucleotide ribosomal RNA is filed under the name uncultured bacterium. Its description in RNAcentral is "partial 16S ribosomal RNA". It matches the Rfam family "Bacterial small subunit ribosomal RNA", at positions 28 to 507 of the family's 1533-position model. The record is from RNAcentral.